This 253-nucleotide ribosomal RNA is filed under the name uncultured bacterium. Its description in RNAcentral is "partial 16S ribosomal RNA". It matches the Rfam family "Bacterial small subunit ribosomal RNA", at positions 524 to 776 of the family's 1533-position model. The record is from RNAcentral.
UACAGAGGGGGCAAGCGUUGUUCGGAAUUACUGGGCGUAAAGGGCGCGUAGGCGGCCUUCUAAGUCGAACGUGAAAUCCCUGGGCUCAACCCAGGAACUGCGUCCGAUACUGGAAGGCUUGAAUCCGGGAGAGGGAUGCGGAAUUCCAGGUGUAGCGGUGAAAUGCGUAGAUAUCUGGAGGAAUACCGGUGGCGAAGGCGGCAUCCUGGACCAUUACUGACGCUGAGGCGCGAAAGCUAGGGGAGCAAACGGG